GGGGAUUUGGCUCAGUGGUAGAGCGCUUGCCUAGGAAGCGCAAGGUCCUGGGUUCAAUCUCAGCCCCG
Molecule: transfer RNA, 68 nt
Filed under: Rattus norvegicus (Norway rat)
Lineage: Eukaryota; Metazoa; Chordata; Mammalia; Rodentia; Muridae
Rfam family: tRNA
About the family: Transfer RNA (tRNA) molecules are approximately 80 nucleotides in length.
Source: Rfam by way of RNAcentral